RNAcentral lists this long non-coding RNA (1758 nucleotides) under Hordeum vulgare. RNAcentral's name for it is "long non-coding RNA (HVUL_LNC021092)". The record is from RNAcentral. Lineage: Eukaryota; Viridiplantae; Streptophyta; Magnoliopsida; Poales; Poaceae.
AACUAUCAAUUGCUCCAACUUAGAAAUUAAAGGUACACGGUAGUAUAUUGUCCGUUGGCAUUAUGUUGAACAUAUAACAAAUUAGGAAAAGGAGGAAUAAUAUGGAUUACAGAGAGAACCUCUCUGUGUCUGGCCGCCGACACUCACGACUAACCCUCUGGGGUGAUGGGAUAAGACGCGUCCGACUGUUAAUCGGUGUUCUCGUACCAUACUGUCCUUACAUGCCUCCCCAACUCAUCAGUGAGCACCUCCUCAUCUCAGAAUAACCACCACCUGUUAUAAACACUCACGCAGUGGCAGCAUUUUUUUUUUAAUGUAGUUAGAUCUUAGUCCUUUUAGAUACCUAUUCUACUGACCAUGUGGGGUUUAAACCUGGAAAGAAUGGUUUUUUAAAUAUAAAGGAGGCAUAUCACCCACGAAAAAAUGCAUGCAUAACUUGUUGUUCUCAUAAUUAAUGCUCCAUCCGUCUCAAAUAAAUGACUCAAUUUUGUACAAAAUUUGUACUAAAGUUAGUAUAAAGUUGAGUCCUUAUUUUGGGACAGAGGGAGUAUGAAAUAUGCAUAUCUUCAGAACAGAAGGGAGGCACUCUAAAUAAUAAUAGUUGGUAUAACAUACUGGUCAUGAACAAAUAUGGAAACACCAAUAACUACCUUUUGAUAUUGACCAUGUUUCAUGAAUCUCGAAAUUGUUGCUUGACAAUAAAAAGAUCACCAACAUUCAUCAUGCAUGACGCUACUUUCUGACCCUAGAUGUGAACCAACAGCAAAUUGAUAACACAAAUAUUUCUGUUAAGAGAGUGUCCAAUGGGGAAAAUUAUGAAGCAAGAGAGUGUAGAACAAUGAGGUUAGCUGAUUGAGAAGGAUCCAGCAGGCUGACAUAGCUUAUUCUAAAUAAAGAUCAUAAACAAUCUGAUAUAGUAAAAAAGCUGCUCAAAUAGGCCCAGGUUACUAUUGAAAUACAAUCAGAACCUGAAUGUAUAUUAACUGAAUCAAAAUGGCCUAUCAUAUACAUGUUCAUACACAUAGAACAUGCAUGAAAAUGAAUCAACUUAAUCAAUGACAAACCUAAACAGAAAAGUGAACAUAAUAUGAUCACCAGAGCGACAUAUGUGUCUAAGUAUGCUCACAAUAUAAUAUGUAAGAGAAUCGACAUAUGACAUGCAACUGGAUUUUAUUGUUACAGAUUAGUAAGCAUCUGCGACCAUCUACUUGCAAUUUCCAUGACAUCUCUCUAUAAAUAGUCAUCUGCCAGUGUGGAUGCAACACCACAAAAAAUCUAGGUCUAGACAUAAUAAAAAAUGUUCAUUUGUAUCGUGCAGUUUAAUAAUACUAAAAGCAAACAAGUAAGAGGAGGGAAGCAAGGUCGCAACCUGCAAGCUGAAGCAGAGCAUGUCCUUGAGGCCAAAUUACGAAUGGUCCUCCUUCCACAUCAAUCAUUUUCAGAACAUAAACAACAGUAACUUUGACACAUCGUAUACAUUUUAGUUAGCUUAGCUGUGCAAGGCCUGAAAUAAACAGUGAUUACCAGUAUUAUCAGAUCAAGAAGCAGAUUGUAACAUACUGGGUACCAACAGUAAUCACCAAGGAAACUAAAAAAGGAGCACGAGGACAAUUUUCAAUCACCAGAACUGACCAUAAUACAUAAUCUGUGAAGCAAGAGUGAGCGUGUGAUUGCUGGAGCUUCUUGGCAUCGGUGGUUGCUGCUGCUCCUGUACCACACUGGAAGGUUGAAGACCCAGGCGCAAACGAGGGGACGCCG